AUGGGGGCAGCGGACAAGUGGCUGCUGCCGCUGGUGUCCGUCUCCUUCGUCUCGCUCAUGCUCUUCCUCUCGGCGCUCUCGGGCUACUCGGCCUCCUCCGCGCUCUUCGCGCGCCUCCCGCCGCCCUCCUACGUGCGCCGCGGGGCCGCCGCGCCCCCCUCCUUCGCGUACCUGCUCUCGGGCGGCCGCGGCGACGGCCGCAGGCUCCUGCGCCUGCUCCUCGCCGUCUACCACCCCCGGAACCAGUACCUGCUCCACCUCUCCGCGGACGCGCCCGAGUCCGAGCGCCUCGAGCUCGCCGCGGCCGUCGCGCGGGCCGCACCCGCAAUCACAGCCUUCGGGAACGUCGACGUCGUCGGCCGCCCCGCCGCCGGCACCCCCAUGGGCUCCUCCGGCCUCGCCGCCACGCUCCGCGCCGCCGCCGCCCUGCUCCGGCUCGACGCCGAGUGGGACUGGUUCGUCACGCUCAGCGCCGCCGAUUACCCCCUCCUCACCCAGGACGACCUGGUUCAUGUCUUCUCGUCUGUGCCAAGGCACCUCAACUUCAUCGAUCACACUAGUGAUAUUGGAUGGAAAGAGUCUCAGAGAGUGCAACCAGUCAUAGUAGAUGCUGGGAUAUACCUGGCUGGCAGGAAUCAGUUCUUCCAAUCCACAGAGAAACGGGCAACCCCAGAUGGUUUCAAAUUCUUCACAGGUUCUCCUUGGGUCAUUCUGAAUCGGAGGUUUAUAGAGUACUGCAUUUUCGGAUGGGAGAACCUCCCUCGGACCCUUCUCAUGUACUUCACGAACGUGAUGUUGCCUCUGGAAGGUUAUUUCCACUCAGUCGCAUGCAACUCGGACUUCCGUAACUUCACGGUGAACAAUGACUUGCGGUACGUGGCAUGGGACGACCCACCUCAGAUGGAACCCCGGUUUCUAAACAUUACACAUUAUGAGGAGAUUGUGGAGAGCGGAGUGCCCUUUGCUAGGAAGUUCCGAGAGAAAGAGCAUCUGUUGGACAGGAUUGAUGAGAAAAUACUCCAGCGAUGGCGUCACAGACCUGUUCCCGGAGCGUGGUGCACAGGCAGGAAGAGGUGGUUCAGCGAUCCAUGCUCCCAGUGGAGCAACGUCAACAUCGUAAGACCCGGCCCCCAAGCCGAGAAGUUCCGCAGAUACAUGGACCGGAUCCUGGAAGAAUCCAAGUCAAGCAACAGCUCAUGCGCGCAAUAG
RNAcentral lists this ribosomal RNA (1209 nucleotides) under Triticum aestivum (bread wheat). Its description in RNAcentral is "partial small subunit ribosomal RNA". The record is from RNAcentral. Lineage: Eukaryota; Viridiplantae; Streptophyta; Magnoliopsida; Poales; Poaceae.